This 527-nucleotide ribosomal RNA is filed under the name Staphylococcus aureus. RNAcentral describes it as "bacterial SSU rRNA". It matches the Rfam family "Bacterial small subunit ribosomal RNA", at positions 196 to 711 of the family's 1533-position model. The record is from RNAcentral. Lineage: Bacteria; Bacillati; Bacillota; Bacilli; Caryophanales; Staphylococcaceae.
AAAAGUGAAAGACGGUCUUGCUGUCACUUAUAGAUGGAUCCGCGCUGCAUUAGCUAGUUGGUAAGGUAACGGCUUACCAAGGCAACGAUGCAUAGCCGACCUGAGAGGGUGAUCGGCCACACUGGAACUGAGACACGGUCCAGACUCCUACGGGAGGCAGCAGUAGGGAAUCUUCCGCAAUGGGCGAAAGCCUGACGGAGCAACGCCGCGUGAGUGAUGAAGGUCUUCGGAUCGUAAAACUCUGUUAUUAGGGAAGAACAUAUGUGUAAGUAACUGUGCACAUCUUGACGGUACCUAAUCAGAAAGCCACGGCUAACUACGUGCCAGCAGCCGCGGUAAUACGUAGGUGGCAAGCGUUAUCCGGAAUUAUUGGGCGUAAAGCGCGCGUAGGCGGUUUUUUAAGUCUGAUGUGAAAGCCCACGGCUCAACCGUGGAGGGUCAUUGGAAACUGGAAAACUUGAGUGCAGAAGAGGAAAGUGGAAUUCCAUGUGUAGCGGUGAAAUGCGCAGAGAUAUGGAGGAACACCA